CCUACGGGUGGCAGCAGUGGGGAAUAUUGCACAAUGGGCGAAACCCUGAUGCAGCGACGCCGCGUGAGUGAAGAAGUAAUUCGUUAUGUAAAGCUCUAUCAGCAGGGAAGAAAAUGACGGUACCUGAGUAAGAAGCCCCGGCUAACUACGUGCCAGCAGCCGCGGUAAGACGUAGGGGGCAAGCGUUAUCCGGAUUUACUGGGUGUAAAGGGAGCGUAGACGGCAGUGCAAGUCUGGAGUGAAAGGCGGGGGCUCAACCCCCGGACUGCUCUGGAAACUGUACGGCUGGAGUGCAGGAGAGGUAAGUGGAAUUCCUAGUGUAGCGGUGAAAUGCGUAGAUAGUAGGAGGAACACCAGUGGCGAAGGCAGCUUACUGGACUGUAACUGACGUUGAGGCUCGAAAGCGUGGGGAGCAAACAGGAUUAGAUACCCCUGUAGUC
This 440-nucleotide ribosomal RNA is filed under the name uncultured bacterium. RNAcentral's name for it is "partial 16S ribosomal RNA". It matches the Rfam family "Bacterial small subunit ribosomal RNA", at positions 338 to 795 of the family's 1533-position model. The record is from RNAcentral.